CCUACGGGUGGCAGCAGUGAGGAAUAUUGGUCAAUGGGCGCGAGCCUGAACCAGCCAAGCCGCGUGAGGGAUGACGGUCCUACGGGUUGUAAACCUCUUUUGCCGGGGAGCAACGGGCGCCACGUGUGGCGCCACUGAGAGUACCCGGAGAAAAAGCAUCGGCUAACUCCGUGCCAGCAGCCGCGGUAAUACGGAGGAUGCGAGCGUUAUCCGGAUUUAUUGGGUUUAAAGGGUGCGUAGGCGGAUCGUUAAGUCAGUGGUCAAAUUGAGGGGUGCAACCCCGGCGAGCCGUUGAAACUGGCUGUCUUGAGAUGUCGAGAGGUAUGCGGAAUGCGCAGUGUAGCGGUGAAAUGCUUAGAUAUUGCGCAGAACUCCGAUGGCGAAGGCAGCAUACCGGCGGCGAUCUGACGCUGAGGCACGAAAGCGUGGGUAUCGAACAGGAUUAGAUACCCGGGUAGUC
RNAcentral lists this ribosomal RNA (460 nucleotides) under uncultured bacterium. RNAcentral describes it as "partial 16S ribosomal RNA". It matches the Rfam family "Bacterial small subunit ribosomal RNA", at positions 338 to 795 of the family's 1533-position model. The record is from RNAcentral.